RNAcentral lists this small RNA (570 nucleotides) under Pongo abelii (Sumatran orangutan). RNAcentral describes it as "processed transcript". The record is from RNAcentral. Lineage: Eukaryota; Metazoa; Chordata; Mammalia; Primates; Hominidae.
GUGGAGGGAAGCUGUCACAGCCCGCAAGAAACUGAGGCGCCAAAUGCGGGCUUUCCCUGCUGCGCCCUGCUGCGUGGACGUGAGCGACCGGCUGAGGGCGCUGGCGCCCAGUGCAGAGUGUCCCAUUGCUGAGGAGAACCUGGCCAGGGGCCUCCUGGACCUGGGCCAUGCAGGGAGAUUGGGCAUCUCCUGCACCAGGUUAAGGCGGCUCAGAAACAAGACGGCUCACCAGAUGAAGGUUCAGCACUUCUACCAGCAGCUGCUGAGUGAUGUGGCAUGGGCGUCUCUGGACCUGCCAUCCCUUGUGGCUGAGCACCUCCCUGGGAGGCAGGAGCAUGUGUUUUGGAAGCUGGUGCUGGUGUUGCCGGAUGGAGAGGAGCAGUCCCCAGAGAGCUGUGGCAGAAUUCUAGCAAAUUGGUUAAAAGUCAAGUUCAUGGGAGAUGAAGGCUCAGUGGAUGACACAUCCAGCGAUGCUGGUGGGAUUCAGACGCUUUCGCUUUUCAACUCGCUUAGCAGCAAAGGGGAUCAGAUGAUUUCUGUUAACGUGUGUAUAAAGGUGAACUAUAAUUA